RNAcentral lists this long non-coding RNA (3056 nucleotides) under Drosophila guanche. Lineage: Eukaryota; Metazoa; Arthropoda; Insecta; Diptera; Drosophilidae. The record is from RNAcentral.
CUAUAAAACCAUCUAUUAUAUUAUAUCACCGCGCCUUGUGUAAAGAAAUGUUGGUGCUUGCAUAUGUAGGGUGUGGAAAAAUUAGCUCAGCGGUCAUUGCCCUUGCGGCUGACCAUACACCUAUGCGCACUUAAAUAGACCCACCUGACCGUAUGUCACCUAUUCUCUCCUUCUCUCAGGUUAUUAAAAUUGUUCGAUGCCGACAUUCUAAAAGCCACUUAAGGGAAGAAAAGUAAAUCACAAAAAUCUAGAAAAAAAAACUUAAUGAAAAAUUAUGAAUAGAAGAAAAAAAAAUAGAAAAGAAAAUUGUUCAAUAAUAUUAAAUAUUCCUAGACAUUAACUUAGAAAUAGAAGAAGAAAAACAUGAAAUUUAUGCGUAGUUAAUAAUAGAUUCUAAAAGGGUGCCUGAUCGGUCUCAUUGUGUCCAUGGAAGGGUAUUGGUAAAAUACCUCUUCAUAACGCUUCUUGUUAUUUUGCAUAUUUCUACAUUUCUUUAACAGUUAGAACGUGAAAUUGGGCCCAACGACACCAACAGCUGUUUAAAAGUCUGUAAGUAGACACACAUAUAUACACAUACACUCCGGGUCAGGAGAAUAGCGUCUACACAGUGAGACAUGCAUGCUUAACCAUAUAUAAAAUGAAUUAUUAUUAACUAUGAUCACUACAAUUAUGCCAUUUAAUUCAUUUAAUUAAUUAAUUCUUACUUUAUAUUUUGAUUAUAUUAUUUUUAUUCAUAUUUGAUCAUUCUCUUGAAUUCCUAUGUAUUAAAUUAGUCCCUCAUAUAUACACAUGCAGUAAAAAUAGUUUAAGGGUUAGGGUAGAAAUAAUGGGGGUUACAAACAACCUGAAGUCAUACAAGUCAAAGUAAAAUUAUAACGAUUUAACAUGAAUUUCUAAUCUGAUUUUUGGGAGGGGUUCCUAAGGCACAUAGGCAGCAGCGGCAGGUUUUGGGUAGAACCGUAAUGGCAUAUUCUUAUGUUAUUCUACAUUUAGGGUGGGUCAAGAGGGAAAAGCACAACCACCUUGCUCUUCACAGUAGGUAGUGGACCUUAAGUUCCGUUCGGGUUUGUAAUUCCGAUCCCAGUUCCCGUAAAUCUGUCUACGAUUUUGUUAGGUGACGGAGUUCGUUUUCGCAGCACAACACCCACCCCAUUUUCCCUGAGCCUAGCCGGCCAACCUUUAGUAGACAGAGAGUGUUGACGAGACGACACUUCCCGUGUCCGUUACAAGGUACUGAUUAACACAGAGGCACAGAAACAGAAUGCUAAUUUCGGAAGUCCAAAAUCUCAUGCUUACGAUCCCAUUUGCCACAGCGAAUAUACAAAGAUCUUUUUUUUUUCUCUCUCUUUAUAUUUACAAUCUGUUUUUUUAAACAAUAAGUAAAUUGUAUACAAAUACAAAGAUCUAAAAUCUAUUUUUACCGAACAGCUCACAGAGGUCCCAGUAGCUAAUUUGUAUCAAAUAUAAGAAUUUGUCAUUAUAACAUUAUUAUUCAUAUUUUAGUAGAAUACUCCCAGGUUAAGAUUAUCUGUAGGAAGGUCCUAAUGUUCCGGUAGCGCAUAACAACACCGUGCUACAAAUGCACGACAAUUUCGUGGCGGAAAGCGACGAGGGGAUCCUAGCCGUCAGCGGGUGCGCCACAACGAACUCCGUUACGUUUUGCAAGAAAGCAACGCACGACACCUGCGCUCGCGAAGUACACGCCGGCGGCUCUGCUUCAUGCCGCACACAACCCAGCCAACUGGCCAUCACCAUCCUGUUUGCCCAUCCAUAAAUGGGCAGCAAGCAACGAUCAGCGUUGACAAUGGACCCCUAAUGACGACAAGAGGGGCCAACCUUAUCACGUUCGAAGAAAGAACCGUGAUCAACAGCACCCUGUUCUUAAAACUCAACAAAGCAUUGAGGAAAGUUCCAGGCAUCGUAGCUUCGCCUUUGCUGUCCAUAAAGGGGCACGAUGAAGUCCUAACCCUACCAAUACUACAAUCGAUGAAGGAGCACAAUCUAAGGGUCAUCCAAGAACUUAGAAGCGACAUGACAUCUGGUGGGUCUCCCAAGACCUGGUUGAUUGCAGGAGUGGCGGUUAGCCUCAUGCUCCGUGGCCUUAUCCUGUUGCAUCAAUGCUAGAGUCGGAAAAACUCCUCAAUAAAGUUGAAAAAGGUCAUCAGAGAGAUGGGUAUCGCCGAGGACGGAGAUGAUUUAAGGAGGGAGUAGUUAACACAUAAGCAAUAACAUGUAAGAAAAUAAGUACGAUUGUUCAUGUGCCACCCUAACUUAGCGCAUAAGAAAUACAAAUUAUCAUGGGCCGCCUUAACUUAUCCAGUCUGAUACUGAGGGCGCCGAUGCAGUAGAUCCCGUUGCAGCGGGCGGCUCUCUUAUCUGAUUGGGCGCCAGCGAUCGCCUGAUUUUGUUUUGUGCGCGGGCGGCUCUUAUCUCUUUUGUGCGCUGCCGGCUCGCCAGCUAAGUUUCGGGUUAGGUUUAGAAGUAAGCUUCAGUUUAGAAUUGGAAGAAUAAAUGAACUUCAUAUCACUUGUUAAGCCUUUAAGGGGCCAACGAAAUAGAGGGCAGUUACCCUCUCAACAUAAUCUUCGGUAGAAGACUCAGUUGCCAACCGCAACCACCUUCCCCCGCUACAAGAGCGGGCCACGGGAACCCGAUCGCUGCCGCCGGAGCUAACGCAACGCAUACCGCAGCUCGGACCAUUACCACAUAAAGAUAAUUUAUAUGAGCAAGUGACAUAAAUAGAAUGGCCGGGAAGAAUCAGUCUAACACAGACGAAUUUCAGGUCUUGUGAGACCUGGACUAUGAAAAGUUUUGACGUAAAGUAAGAGUUUACUGCAAUCAGAAUCCCUCCUCCACGUCGAGACUAACGAUCAUUCCUAUAAAUUGUGCACCGAUCUGCCAAAACUUCGGAUCUAAGAAUGUCCGGCCCACGAGGCCUGAAAACCCAAUACAUUUUGCGUGCACUACGUUAUCGCAGAGCCAGCAAGGGAUGCUCGGCUGGUCAUGGGUGAUCUGCUUCUUGCAAGCCUUAGCGGAACACACAACCACGUAUUCCA